CCUACGGGAGGCAGCAGUGAGGAAUAUUGGUCAAUGGGCGCGAGCCUGAACCAGCCAAGUCGCGUGAGGGAAGACGGCCCUACGGGUUGUAAACCUCUUUUGCCGGGGAGCAACGGGCGCCACGUGUGGCGCCACUGAGAGUACCCGGAGAAAAAGCAUCGGCUAACUCCGUGCCAGCAGCCGCGGUAAUCCGGAGGUUGCGAGCGUUAUCCGGUUUUAUGGGGUUUAAGGGGUGCGUAGGCGGAGCGUUAAGUCAGUGGUCAAAUUUGGGGGUCCAACCCGUGAGCGCCAUGGAAACUGGCGAUCUUGAGUGGGAGAGAAGUAGGCGGAAUGCGUGGUGUAGCAGUGAAAUGCAUAGAUAUCACGCAGAACCCCGAUUGCGAAGGCAGCCUGCCG
Molecule: ribosomal RNA, 396 nt
Filed under: uncultured bacterium
Lineage: Bacteria
Description: partial 16S ribosomal RNA
Rfam family: Bacterial small subunit ribosomal RNA
Source: RNAcentral